This 251-nucleotide ribosomal RNA is filed under the name Weissella sp. Its description in RNAcentral is "partial 16S ribosomal RNA". It matches the Rfam family "Bacterial small subunit ribosomal RNA", at positions 1052 to 1304 of the family's 1533-position model. The record is from RNAcentral. Lineage: Bacteria; Bacillati; Bacillota; Bacilli; Lactobacillales; Lactobacillaceae.
UCGUCAGCUCGUGUCGUGAGAUGUUGGGUUAAGUCCCGCAACGAGCGCAACCCUUAUUAUUAGUUGCCAGCAUUCAGUUGGGCACUCUAGUGAGACUGCCGGUGACAAACCGGAGGAAGGUGGGGAUGACGUCAAAUCAUCAUGCCCCUUAUGACCUGGGCUACACACGUGCUACAAUGGCAUAUACAACGAGUCGCCAACCCGCGAGGGUGCGCUAAUCUCUUAAAGUAUGUCUCAGUUCGGAUUGUAGG